RNAcentral lists this non-coding RNA (26 nucleotides) under Mus musculus (house mouse). Lineage: Eukaryota; Metazoa; Chordata; Mammalia; Rodentia; Muridae. The record is from RNAcentral.
UCCACCCAUGCCUUCGGAACCUCUUC